AUUGAACGCUGGCGGCAGGCCUAACACAUGCAAGUCGAACGAGCGGCGGACGGGUGAGUAAUGUCUGGGAAUCUGCCUGAUGGCGGGGGAUAACUACUGGAAACGGUAGCUAAUACCGCAUACCAUCAGAUGUGCCCAUAUGGGAUUAGCUUGUAGGUGGGGUAAUGGCUCACCUAGGCGACGAUCCCUAGCUGGUCUGAGAGGAUGACCAGCCACACUGGAACUGAGACACGAUCCAGACGCCUACGGGAGGCAGCAGUGGGGAAUAUUGCACAAUGGGCGCAAGCCUGAUGCAGCCAUGCCGCGUGUGUGAAGAAGGCCUUCGGGUUGUAAAGCACUUUCAGCGGGGAGGCGUUACUCGCAGAAGAAGCACCGGCUAACUCCGUGCCAGCAGCCGCGGUAAUAC
This 406-nucleotide ribosomal RNA is filed under the name uncultured bacterium. Its description in RNAcentral is "partial 16S ribosomal RNA". It matches the Rfam family "Bacterial small subunit ribosomal RNA", at positions 30 to 526 of the family's 1533-position model. The record is from RNAcentral.